RNAcentral lists this ribosomal RNA (253 nucleotides) under uncultured prokaryote. RNAcentral describes it as "partial 16S ribosomal RNA". It matches the Rfam family "Bacterial small subunit ribosomal RNA", at positions 524 to 776 of the family's 1533-position model. The record is from RNAcentral.
UACGGGGGGAGCAAACGUUGUUCGGAAUCACUGGGCGUAAAGGGCGCGUAGGCGGCUGAAUAAGUGGGAUGUUAAAUCCCCGGGCUCAACCCGGGACCUGCAUCUCAUACUGUUCAGCUCGAGCACAUCAGAGGAGUCUGGAAUUCCCGGUGUAGCGGUGAAAUGCGUAGAUAUCGGAAGGAACGCCGGUGGCGAAAGCGGCGUGCUGGACCUCCCCUGACGCUGAGGCGCGAAAGCCAGGGGAACGAACGGG